CCUGCGGAAAUCUCUAGAGCCAGGGUCUAUCCAUGGGCCAUCGCUGUGCGCCAGCUCUUGCUCCAUCUCUCCGCGGCGGCAGCGCAACAGCCGCCCCCAUGAAAGUCGCCAUCCUCACCCCCCGCGAGCCUGCCCCAUCCCGCUUAGCGUCGUCCCCCGCCGCUGCGCAGCCGCGACCCAUCUGGAUAAGGAUGCAUCCGCUUCUCCCAUAGCCGCCACUACCCCUGCCUGCCCUCUGCUACGAACACGAAGAUACCCUGGAUGGAGGUGGAGCUCUCAGAGGCUUAAGAUCUAGAACUCUAUCGCGUACUACGGAUUCCACAGGGUGAGGAGAGAUACGAGCAGGUGUCCCACCGGCGAUGCGGGUCCAAUCUUCGGCAUUGGGAGCAAUCCGCCUACUCGACCACGAAGGUUCUCUGAGGCGGUGUAGCCAGAGAUCAUGCGGGCAACAGGGAAGGACGAUAGCUACGCAGCCCACAUCACGAAGGCAUAUAAGUGGGAGUUCGCCGAAAGGGAAGGUUUGCAACUGGUUGUGCUAAAUCCAGGGACUACUCUGGGCCCAUUUUUCAUGUCAUCAGUCAAUACCAGCCUGAAUAAUCUAUUGCAACUCCUAAGAGGUUGAAAAUUAACCAGGCCAACGUCUUGAGUUGGACCCUGUCAACACAGGGUGGGUCUAUCAAGGAGGACAAACAGGUUGGUUGAUGAGAGCAAAGGAGCUUUCCAAGAAGUUGAUUGAUCUGGGCAUUUGUUUCCUUCCGUUUGAUGUGACCAUCAGGGAGACCGUCGAUUGCUUCAGAAGCAAAGGGCUCAUCUAGCCCUGUGAACAUUUCCAGAUGUUAAAAGAACAGAUUAUCCAACAGCUGAUGGAACCUGCAUUAGAGAUAUUAUGUUGAUGUCACAAAUUUAGUUGAUGCUCAUGUGAAAGCGCUCAACAAGGCAGACACUAGAAAAGUCAGUAUUUACAACGUUGGAACAGGAAGAGAGAGGCCCGCAAAUAGUUAAUCUGGGACAACAUAUCUCUGUACUGGCCAUAGAGGACAACAAAAAAAUCAAAAGUUGAAGAAUCACCAACGGUGCCUCCUUUGCACCCUCCGGCUCAAGAACCUAGGCCCGAGCCAGUUCAACAAGUCAUGCCCACAGCUGAAGUGCUGAACCAACAGAUUUACUGGGAAUCAAUGAAUCAGCCCGAGGCACAUCUGAAAUAGAUCAAAACAAGGUAGUCGCCUUGGUCGUGGUUCCACAUGAUAAUCCGCCAAAAGCACCUUCUUCUACCAGUCCUGGAAGCGUGGUGACUAGCUGGAGCAAUUCAGAUUCUGUGCGUUGAAAAGGAAGUGAAAGAGGCUAUUGUUCAGGUACUAAUUUGCCAUAGUGUUGGUCUAUGACUGAAUGGUACAAAAUGCAUGCAAUGAAUGGAUGAUACUUUCCAGUUAAAUCAUGUAAUUGGAAUACAGUGGUGCCGUCAGUGGUGCGGAUUGGGGGCUUCUAGAGAAAGGGUCUAGCGUCGUGCCCUUCUUGACGAACAGUGUGUUGAUGUGUGCCAUCAUCGCACUGGGAACGAACGUGAUGGCUAGCACGGGGAGCAUCUUGAGCAUCUGCUUUGUCUCCACCACUCACCAUGCUCUGAGCCUGUGUUGGUAUGCAGACUUUUCCCUUUGUUUCAGAAGAAGAUGCAGUUGCAUUGCACAUUGUUAGAACCCACGAUCACCACAAAAUUGAGGGAAUAUGUCAUAACUCAUUAGUCAUUACCUUGUCAAGGUUUAUGCUUUCCAUCACGAACGGUUGGAGUUGCAACAUAACAUUCAUGGUAGUAAAUUGGGACAGGGCUAAUAUAGUGAUGUAUUUCCUUCCAUAGCAAAC
Molecule: RNA transcript, 1857 nt
Organism: Zea mays
Lineage: Eukaryota; Viridiplantae; Streptophyta; Magnoliopsida; Poales; Poaceae
Gene name: cinnamoyl-CoA reductase - UDP-arabinose 4-epimerase pseudogene
Exons: 7
Source: RefSeq, marked validated